RNAcentral lists this transfer RNA (67 nucleotides) under Flaviflexus massiliensis. It matches the Rfam family "tRNA". Rfam says of the family: Transfer RNA (tRNA) molecules are approximately 80 nucleotides in length. Lineage: Bacteria; Bacillati; Actinomycetota; Actinomycetes; Actinomycetales; Actinomycetaceae. The record is from RNAcentral.
CGGGUGUAGUUCAAUGGUAGAACUCCAGCUUCCCAAGCUGGUAGCGCGGGUUCGAUUCCCGUCACCC